GCUACUUCUGUCUAAACUCCCUUCCAGGCUUGUUUUUCAUUUGCUUGUUUUGCUUUGCUUUAUUCAUGCAUUUAUAUGGUGUGUAUUUAGUGACCUCUAACUCACUAGGUUGUCAAGACUGUCCUUGAACACUGGUCUUCCUGCCUCCACCUCCAAGUGCUGUGGCUAUAGGCAUGCGCCACCAUUCUGUGCCAGUGUUUGUUGAAUCAUGGCCACAUUGCUCUUAUCUUUCCAAUCUUUCCCUUAGCCACGUCAUACCAUCCUCUUCUCUAUGUUCCAGUAAGAAAUCCCCAUUCGCUUCUCUCUUACAAGGAAAACUGUGAAUGCAUUGAGGAUACUCUUUCAUCUCAAAAAUCCUUAUCAUAAUCCACUGGUUCUCAGCCUGUGGGUUGAGACCCCCCCAUGGGGGUUCCAUAUCAGAUAUCUUUCAUAUCAGAUAUUUAUAUUAUGAUUCCAUAACAGUAGCAAUAUUUCAGUUAUAAAGUAGCAAUGAAAAUAAUGUUAUGGUUGGGGUCACCACAGCAUGAGGUACUAAAGGGUCACAGCAUUAGGAAGGUUGAGGACCACCACCUUAAUCACUCUUGUAGGAAUCCUUUGCCCCUUGCCAUACGAGCUGAUAUUCACAGAGUCCAUAAGUAAGGAUACGAAUAUCUUUUGCAAGACCAGUUUUUAGCCUAUUCCUAUGCCCCAAAUGAAAAUAGAAUUUGGAGAAUUGUUUUAACAAAUCUAAAGGGUGGGAGAUAAGACAGAGGGCAGCUACAGCUGCUCCAGAUGUGGAGAAAGCUGAAAGGAUGCAGUAUCUUCACAUCUAGUCAAUCCCUGGGACAUGUGGAGAUGUACAAAGGGGAUUCAAUGUGGUAAUGGGCUUAUAGAUUACAUCAUCCAUAAAGUCGCAUGAAAUGCCGUCUGCAAGCAGGAGUCCCGAGAAUGCCGAAUCUGAAGACCUAGGUCCCAGGGGAGCUGAUGGUGUGACUUCCAGUGUGAAGCUACAGGGCCACAGGAGAGGCCGAGCUGCCCGUGCAAAUCCUGGACUGCAAAUCUGGAGACCCUGAAGCACUGGUGUGGGAUGAACAAAUAUGACUAGACUUAUCUGAGAGUUGUUUACCCCUGACCUCUGCUGCCAAAAUCGAGGGAGUGGCCUCAAUCCAGAGGACGACUCUGCCCAGAACCAACCACUGAAAUCAAACCAAUGACAUUCAGCAAAUCCCCUGGGUCCCCAGAAUGGAUCCCUGCAUAUGUAUUACACAGUUCUAGAAGUCCGCAGACGUUUUCCUCUUGGCAAGCAGCAGUGGUGGGAUGGCACUGAGGACCAUGUGCGGAAUCUGAUCUGUCCUUCCACAGCCAGCAAGAUGGGAACCGGCUCACUGUGCUCUCUCACUGCGGCCUGGAGUGUGCAGCUAGACACCACGAGGAACAGUUUUCUCACUCUGUUGGGAAAGCUUAUCUCAGCCAUAUGACUCCAGCCAUAACUUAUUAAGCACGUACCAGGUGUUGAUGCAAUCAUUCCUUGUUUUGCCUCAUGCGGGCUCCUCAAGAUGAAUGAUCUCUUGGGGAUGUGCUAACUGCUGUAAGCAAGACCAGAGGUUUUAGGUGCUUAACAUAGUGACAGUUUCUUAGUCACAGCGGGACAGGUAGGACUUGGAGGACUCUUCCAGGCACAUCCAUGGGCUCCUGCUAUCAUAUGGCUUCUCCUUUUCCUAGGGUCUCGUGAAGACUAUGAAAGGGAUCAUGGGGUCUUAGGGGCCAGCUUGAAAAUGCUACAACCAUUCACGAUCCACUGAACUAGUUUCCUGGCUGCCUAGGUGUGAGGGGGCUGAGGUAUUCCUAUUAUAUGAUAAAUUGUAUGCCACCCUCCACUGCCUAUCACAACCCACACUCUGACACCAUUGACUCCAGAACCUCAGAAUGUGACCGUAUGUGGACUCAAGGCAUCAGAACAGCUGAUUAAAUUUGAAUGGGAUUGUUGGGGCAGGCCCUAAUCCAGUAUGACUGGUACCCUAACAAGAAUAGAUUUGAACAGCCAAGAGAUGCUAGGGCCUUAUACACAGAGAGGAACAGUCAUUUGAGCAUAAUAUGAAGACAGCUGUCAUGAACACUCUAUAUCAGAAACACAGAUGGAUGCGUUUUGUGUCAUUUCACACUGUCACAAUUUAUCGAGUAACAGUAAAUUCAUGAGUCAUGUUGGUGUCAUUGGCUGCAAUUUGCCAAGUAGUUCUGGUUCCCCUUGAGAACUGGCCAUGGGCAAUCAUAGGCUCUUUUAUCCUAAUCUUAAAUAGUAAAAUUAAUUCUUAUAUCACACAUUAUGCAUCUCACAAUCAUUAGAAUUCUCUUUGUAACCAUUACAAAAUAGUUACAAGAGGGUUGAAGAAGGCAUCAUGAUUCAGAGAGUUCACGAAUGUGGAGACAGGCAGAGAGUUGGUAUAGAGGCAGGGGAUUAGACAAGAGAGAUACUGAGGAGCCAGCCCUCUUAGAGAGCUGUUGGGGACUCAGAACCAAGCAACGGGAUUGCAGGAUUAAGGCCAACUGCAGGAUUAAGUCAAACCACAGAAGUACAAGACUAUGGAGGUCAUAAGAUCAAGGUAUAGGACUGGAGGACUGUGGAAGGGAGGGGCAAGACCAAACCCAAGAACAUAUGGAUGAAGAAACAGCAGUUCAGAUGGGCACUGUCAAGCAGUGAGAUGCAACUGAGCCGAUACCCGAGGGACACUUGACAGUUCUCCACCCGUCAAUGCCUUGAUGUACACUGAAGCAGGUAGAUGACAGGGCAGUGGGACCAGGUAUUAAGAACCCCCUGUUCAUGGGGUCCAGGUGGGGGUGUCCUACCUUCCAUCGGUACGGUGUAUUUGGUAAGUUCUUGGGCAUGAUUUUGAUGCUGUGGUUUUAAUUAAACCCAUGCACCAUGGUUUUAAUUACACUCGUGCUGACAUGAGUCCAGUAUGCUGGAGAAGUUUCUGUGUGCGAUCUUCUUACUUUCAAGAACAAGCUAUUUGUCAGAAUCCUGGGUGUUUGUGGUUCAUGGCUGGUGCUGGACAAGUGGUAGCAACUGCAUGCACAAUGACACACAAUCACCCAGCCUCUGGAUUUAUACUCAAAAAGGAGCCAGCUGCCCCUUGUAAAAUGGAGUCACCCCAGGGCACGGCAUAGGCUGAAGGCCACUGUUCUACACACUGUGGAGUUGCCAAGAUCAAGGCAUACCUGAUUUCCACAGUGGCAAUCUACAAACCAAUACCUUAAAACAAACCAAACUUUUUGUGACCCUUUCCACCUUAGACUUUUGACCUCCUAAACUAAGGAAACAAAUAUCUAUGAUUUAGCACACCCAGGCUGUAAUGUUUUGUUUCAGCAGCCUGCACUAACUAAUACAGUAUUUGCAGUGGGAACUCAGAGUAGGUGAGAUUAGCUGUUGGUGCUGUAGUCCACUGUAACGCAACGCCUCAUGCGCUAUGCCUGCACUACAGUACGACUCAUGAGUCAGGCAAGGGGCUAGAGAUUGAAACACACACACAUACACAGAGAGAGAGAGAGAGAGAGAGAGAGAGAGAGAGAGAGAGAGAGAGAGAGAGAGAGAGAGGAGUCAUCCUUGAAACAAGAAUGCCAAGAAUGCCCCCUCGAAUCAAGAAUGCCAACUUUAUUGUGUUCCAGGGCAGUUUAUAUAGUGCCUUCCCUGACCAAUGGCCACACCCUAGCUCUCCGGAUCCUUCAGCUGCAAGUCACCAGAAACCACUCCCCUCCCAUCCGGGUCUCGUGCUCAGAACAGCUGCAAACACAGGAAAACAAGCUGUUUUCUCCAGCAGGCAGGGGUCACAGGAAAUUCAGGAUCUGGGGGUCCACAGGCCCCAACAGUCCGCCCCCGAGUUUCCUUCCUCUUGCCCCUUCCCUCGCCAGUGAGGCUAAGCAUAGCUCCCAAGCCCCUGCAUCCAGCUGAACAUUUAGGAUCAUUGGGUAUGUUGGAUGAUCCACAGAUAUAAACACAGGCUCCUGGCUUCUUUGGCAAUGUGAUUCCUUCAAAAACUUGGGCUUCCAAUAGCUUUUAUUCUAACCAUUUCCAUGUAGUAACUACACAUAGAAUGCUCUUCUGGGUCAGCUUGCUGAUGUCAUUCUUUCUCAACCUAGCAGUGGCUGCCUUGAGACUCCCUGGCUUUGUAGGCAGGGUAUAGUCCCUGAAAUGGUUGUUUUGUCUCAGGACUAACUCACUAAGCUUAUCUGAGAAGAAAGAUUCAUUGGGUCUUAUUGCACAUAAUUUCUCUAUUUCUCUCUCUCUCUUUCUAAAAAAAAAUAGUGUCUUGGAAAGAAACCUUCAUUGUUAUGAGCCUCUGCAAUUUGGAGAUUAUUCCAAUAGCUCGUAAAUCCUUACUUACACAGGGCUUCCUUUUUUAUGGAGGAGUAAAAACUGAGACCAAAGGGGAAGUAUGUCCUAAGAGAGGCCCUCUGUUCCUGAUUCUGUUCUGUUUCCUUCUCACAGACUGACCAUUCAUUCUUCAUGGCAUUCAAGGUUUUCUUUUGGCCUCUUGCUGCAUGCAGUGCACAGGCAGUACCGGGACUAGCAUUCUUGUUUCCGGCUUGCAUCCUCUUCCCCUAGGCAUGGAUGACUUCCAGGUUAUCCCAGGCAGCACUGGGAUCUGGUACCCAAGCAUAGCACAGACCCUGGUCACACAGUUUAUCACAGGUUAUCCCAGGCAGCGCUGGGGUCUAGUACCCAAGCAUAGCACACAUCGUGGUCACACAGCUUGUCGCUGCUCCUCUCUAUCCAGCUUCAUAUGGUCAUUGUGUUACAGCAGAGGUUCUCAACCUGUGGAUCACGACCCUUCUGGGGGGUUGAAAGACCCUUUUAUAGGAGUUGUAUAUCAGAUAGCCCGAAUAUCAGAUAUUUAUGUUACAGUUCAUAACAGUGGAAACGUUACAGUUAUGAAUUACAAUGAAAUUAUUUGGGGGGUUAUCACCACAACAUGAGGAACUGUAUAUUUAUUAAGGGGUCGCAGUAUUAGGAAGGUUGAAAACCACUGUUUUAAAGGAACUUUUUUACUCAAAGAAAGAAAAAAAUUCUUGUAUUACUCAAGGAAGGGAAAUGCUGAAACAGACAGCUGUCAAAACUCAGUGAAUACAAAAUCAACUGUCCUUCUUCCUCAUGUCAUAGUGUGCGACUGAUUGGCUCAGGGGUCAAGAUGGAAGAAGAAGCAAGAGCUAUGUUCCACGCUGUCACUCAAGGGCCCAGGCUCCUCCCAUUGGGUGCAUGCAGAACUGGAUAAAGCGCUGGACUCCUUAUGGUUUGGGCAUUUAGUUGGCAGGUUAAGGAAGAAAGAUCAGAAGGAAGCUGUAAGAUUUUAAGGCAUGCUUUCUCCUUGCUAGGGCUUUUCUGAUGGUAAGAGCCUUUCUUUUCUCUUUUCUCUUUUCUCUUUUUCCUUUGGUUUUCAAGACAGGGUUUCUCUGUAGCUUUGGAACUACUUGCCCUGUUACUCUGCAUUUGGGCGAAUGUGCAAAUACUUGAAGAAUAGUGAGAAAGAUCUUCUUAGCCCACAGGCCAGGCCAAUAUUGCCAUGGGGGAGGGAAGAUCCUGGUAGCAUUGAGGGAGAAGCACCGAGUGACUUCCUUGAGCUAAAUAUGUACUCUUCAUUUAGAAUAUUUUCAUUGGGGUUGGCCAUUGAGGAACAACGUCUGCUCUAGCCACCAUGUCCUCUUCUGUGUUGCUCUCCCGAAUUCAAUGAUUUCUACUGGGCAGAGAAAGUUCGAAGCCUGUGGGGUGGCUGAGAGGCGACAUCACUGCUUCAACCUGUUUCCUGAGCACCCCUGGUGGUGGGGCCUGGCAGGAAGGCCUGGGGAGAGAUGCUGCCGAGGAGAAUGGACUCCCUGCCAUGCUCAUGGGAAAGCAGAGGAGACAAAACAAAUUCAUCAUGAAAAAUUAAACACUUGGAACAGGCUGGGAGACCAAACAAAUACAUAUGAUACAAUUGCUAUUGUAAGUGGCCUCUGGGGCUAAAAAGGAACUCGACAGAAGGCCUCAGCUGCAAGGCAGAGUCACCUGUCAUCCAUUUGGUGUCCUCCAUUGCAGACACACAGAGAUGGAUAUGAAGAGAGAAGGAGAUGAAGAAAGGCUUCAGAUGGGUUAGAAAUAAUAUCAUAGCUACUCCCACCGGAGGCAGACGCAGGUUAAGAUCUUUCCUGGUAAGCCAGCUCGUGGGCUACACAGAUUAUUAGAAAUGGGUUAGAUUAAUAUGUAAGAGCUAGCCAAUAAGUGGCUGGAACUAAUGGGCCAGGCAGUGUUUAAAAGAAGAAAUAAAAAGAAAUAAUAUCAUAGGUGAUGGACGACAGCGAGUCUAGAAAACCAGAAGACAUGAGAAAAUCAAUAGGAGAAAUUCCAUAAAGGGGGGAGGGAGGCAGGAUAGGUUAGAGGGAGGGAAGGGAGCAGGGAGCAGAGGAGAAAGAGGGGCGUAUAGGAGAGACCUCUGGGUACACACCGGAGUAGGUCUUCUGUAUGUUCAGAUCAUCAUAUCUCCUUCGUUUAUCUCCUAGUUUCAUUUUGAGUUCCCGAAGCUGCCAGUCCUUGGGCCUCAGAGCCUCCUCCCUCCACACAGCCCAGGUCCAUCUGGGGCCUCCCAGGAGCCCUUCAGUAGCAGUGUCUCUCUGGCAAGGGGGAAGAUGUGUGGGGAGUAGGGACCACUCUGAGAAGGCUGCUGUACUCUGUUCUACCUGACUCUUCAUUUCUGCCUUCCUUCCUCUACCACCCCACCCUGUGCUACCCCACAUCUGACAACCCUGGACUACCCACUGGUGAAUCAUGGAGCUCAACCCAUUCCUAUCUCUCCUGCAAACGGGGACCAAUGUCAUCUUGCUUGGCUGGAGUGAAAUUCAAGUGUGGGAGCUCCAGAGAUGCCUUGAAAGGAACCACAAUUCAAAGAGGUGAAUUUUGGUUGCACAAUGGGGUUAGUACCCAUCUUCUUCCUAUAACGGGGGUUUCUGGUGAGAUGCCUAGAAUUUGCAGGUUUACAACUCAGAAGGGAACAAGGUGUUAAGCAGUUGAUGCUAGAAUUCUUGCUUUUCUCCUGGUAUACUUGGGUCAGGGACUCAUUUCUUCCGUGCCUUCUCCCAAUUCUCCUGCCUCAGUCUUAUUUGUGAGAUUCCCAGAAAAUGUCUAGGAGAGUAGUGAGGCCAUACCUGAAGUUAUAUCUACUAAGACCUUCAUCUUGGUUCUUUGUUAUCUUAGCACUCUUAUUUGAAAAUACUUCUUUAUAAAUGAAAUAUUGCUUCAAUGUCCAAGAACCUUCACAGUAUAUGUUAAGUGAGAAUUGUUGAGUCUUAGCUGACAACAAACAUUAGCUAGCUUGCGGUGAGGGGCUCCCCCAUGCUAUGUCCCCAUGAUUUCCCUUUCUAUCCUGCCACAAUAUUAUGUUCCAGAGUUAGUCCAGAGUCCCAAGAGUGCCCUCACUUCAGACGGCAGGCACAAGGUCCAGGCAGCCUUCCUACAUACCUGGAGUUCACAUAAUCUCUUCAUAGGUUCAGUAAUUCACUAGAAGGAGUUAUGGCGCUCAGGAGACACCCAUGGUCAGCAGUUUACGGCUAGAUUACAAGGGACAUGUGUGCUUAAAGAGGGACAGAAAGGGCAGGAAGAAGGAAGUCUCUGACCUCAGGUAGGCGGGACCAUGUACAGGGUAAGACGCAUCUGGUCACACCCCAUGUGUGGAUGCAAAAUGCCCACAGAAGAAGGUGGGAUCCCUUAUAGGGGAGGAAAUGACUACCAUACCAUAUUUCUUUCUUUCCAGAGCAUCUUGGCCUGGCUGCAAGGGAAGCUGGGAAGUGUAGUCCUUAGCAGGAAACUACCCAGUGAAAGAACCCAGAACAGGCUUGCCUGGCAGGUGGUGUGUGUGUGUGUGUGUGUGUGUGUGUGUGUGUGCAGGUGGUACAGAACUUCCAUGGCUUUCACACCUUCAAUGGGCACACCAUCUCCCCAGAUCUCUUCUAUAACCCUCUCCCUAGCCCUCUCCCUCUGUGGAGAUUAGGGUGGAGCUAAAGUCUCUGGGCCUUUAAGGAUUCAUUCAGUCUGUUCUGGUGACCAGUCCUUCUGGGAAGCUAACCGGCCCAAUAUUGAGUCAUCUCAUUAGCAUGAACUCUGGUGACUUUUUAAAAAAAAAAAAAAGUCAUUAUGCAUAACAAAGCAUUCCUUAUCACACAGGAAAUUCCAAGGUGCCAGCAACAUGGGCACAGAGACCUGAUAAGGUUUUUAUUGUGCGUACAGCUAAACCCAGUGGAAGCCAAAGGUGAGUCAGCUAGGCUGACAGCCCCGAAGAAUCUCCUCCCAAGGCACAGGGAAGGGCGGAGAAGGGUGGAGGGAGGACCUGAGGACCAAGCAGAGAAUGUCCAGGACACCUUGUAUCACACACACCUGCCGUGCGGGACAUCUGGAUGUCUCCACCUUCCAGAGACCAGAUGAAGGAGGAGAGGCAGAGAUCACUGCAGCAGACUGGGUGAGAACCACACCUCAGGCACUUCAGCGGGGCAUUGUCCUAUUGCCCAGCCUGCAUGCCAUGGAGGCCGCACAGCUGCUUAGGGGGGACUCUGGUGCCAGCCCUCUUCCCAUGUAGCUGAGGGGUGGGCCUGUGCUGUGUCCUUAACUGGAUGUCCCUGUUCUGCUCUGGUUUUGUCCUAAUUGCUGUAACCCUUCUGGGACCAGCCCCUUUUGCCGGAGCAUCCCAAUGUCACAAUCCCCCAGGAGCAUCCCAAGGUCACAAUCCUGGGAGUCAUCUUGCUGCCAUUAUCUCGUUUCCCAAUCUGCUCCUAACCUGUGUUACAGAGAAUUGCAGCUUCCACUGAGAUGGGAUAGAAAGGGAAAAUUAUGGGGACCUGGGAAGGGAAAGUAGUCAUUACCUCACAGUCUGAUUGAAGCCUCUCGCCAGGUGAGAAUCAAGAAUGUCCACACAGUUAACACUUGUUUAGACUGUCCAGGCAAAAACAACAGUUCCCAACUCAAAGGUAAUGAGAGAAUCCGUUCUGGAGUAAAAGUAUGAGUGACCAUGGCCAGGAACAUGGAGCUGGUUGACCACAGGUGACCACGGAGCUGGGUGGGAGAGACCACAGGUUCCAUGCUCUAACGUGGAAACAGUUCAUGGGGUUUUUAAUGGCAACAGCACAGAGAAACGUAUAAAUCAAAGUGGUUUUAAAAUCAUCUGUGGAAAGGUUAAGUAGGCAGAGCAUGGUGGAGAACCCUCGGUUGUGGGCAUUAGCUGUUAUAGCAGUCUUAGCCCUGGUGUGGCGGACAACAGAGUUCUUCCACAUUAUUGCAUUGCAAAGAUUUCCACUAUUCUUAGGCUAUCAGGCCUGCAAAUGGCAGGACGUCAGGUCUGGCGCAGCCAGGGAGAGGGAUGGCUGCUUAUUAGGGCCGAUGAUCACAUAAACUGCAAUUUGGCUUGAAACUGCACAGUUCCAACCCCUCCACCUAUUUGAAGGCCUAAUGAGUUAAUCUGCCAAUGUAGACAACUUCUUUCCAGGAAUUCUCAUCACAAGGCCUUUCUCCCUUCAGAAACCAGCUCUAGGCCAACAGUUUUUCCAGGAAUCUCCCGAGAAACCCUAUUUACAGAAAGAGAUGUGACCCAGCCUUCCACACAACCCGAGUGGCUCCUGGGUUUACUUGAUCAGAUUACAGUCCCAUGCAAGCAUCAGAGCCACCCUGUCAUCGCACUUACCAACAAGAGAAGGAAAAGAACAACAUUUUGAGAUGUAACUCGAGAGCCAGCAAAAUGGUGUGCAUGGCUAGUGCUAACACACUUAGUUGUGUCUCUGUCGAGGAGCCCACAGUGAGUGCACUUGGGUCUGUCUUAUUCUUUUCUAGGACACCUCUCUCUGUUAUCGUCCGUGCUUAAAUCUAUGUUAGAAAUCUUUUAACAUGGAGAAGUUAAGCUGGAACGGGCCUGAAAGCUUCCUCCCUGUUGACUAGCGUUCCUAGUGAUGAAUGAGAAAACUGCCAUGGGAGAGAAGACAUCAGGGCAUCCUGCAGCCGACACUGCUUGUUACAUACAAUACUGACCUGCCAGACAAGAUCUUCCAACCGGGGCAAUAGUGGCGUGAAUGCUGUGGAGGUAACCACUGCCUCUGAGUUGGAUUUAAGGCCUGCUUUCUAGGAAGGAAUUCAAGCCUGGUACCAUUAACCUGGCCCAAAGCCUGUGACUCAAGAAAUUACAGGCCCUAGGAAGGAGCCCAUUACUGUUGUUUUGCUAAAUGGACACACUGUUGAGAGCUUUCUAAAUGUUUAUGUUUAUACACACAGUGCUGCCCUCAACCUUAGUUCAAGAAGCUUCUCUCUGUAGUGGUCAGCAGUUAAGUGCUGAGAAGGCUUAUCUCUAAAUGGGCAACUCCUUCCCACCACCUUGAGGCUUAGGGAACACUGGAGAUGGGCAGAAAGAAGGUAAGAGCCAGAGGAUGAGGAGGAGGGCUAUGAAAUGCUGUCUGUAGGACACAAUGUGGCCAUUACACCCAUGAAUUCAUUGCAGAUACAGUAAGCUGCACAGGACCUGAACAAGAUUAGGCCAACAAGGCCAGUCGCCAUUCCAGCUAGCAGUGCUAAUGGGACUCAGGGGGCUACUAAAAAGAAAGGAAAAGACAUAAAGAGGGAAGGGGGAUAUGCUGGGUAUUCUUAGGGGAGUGGGAAAGGGGAGUCAGGGAUGCACAAAGAUGCAUUGUUUAUAUCGAAACUGUCAAAGAAUAAAACCUACUGUAUUAACAUAUCUUCUAAUAAACUACAAGUUUUCUUUGAGAAGUUGACAACCAUGAUGUGAACUCUUUUCUUUCUCUCUGAGCGCCUUUCUAUUUUCUUUCUUUCUUUCUUUCUUUCUUUCUUUCUUUCUUUCUUUCUUUCUGUUUGUUUAUUUUCUUUGAGACAGUCUCACUGUGUACCCAUGGCUAACCUGGAUAUAUACCAGGCUGAGCUUCAGCUCACGGAGAUCCUCUUGCUUCUGCCUCCCCAGAGCCAAGAGUAAAGGCUGGACCACCACAUCUACCUUUCUCAUU
Molecule: long non-coding RNA, 10992 nt
Organism: Alexandromys fortis (reed vole)
Lineage: Eukaryota; Metazoa; Chordata; Mammalia; Rodentia; Cricetidae
Exons: 3
Source: RefSeq, a predicted model, not a curated record